UUCUUGUGAUGAUGGGAGGUGACAACAUGCCUACAUGAUGAGAUGAAGCAAAGUGAAUGAUGCAGGCAUUGUGACAUGGUGUUAGGCUACUAUUGACCGUCUGACAAAGAGGAUCACCUCCUUCUGGACCAUGGUUUACCACAGCGAUGGUCAAGAAAUUUCUACAACCUUCUCUGGUCCAGCACACUUUACCCAUUCUGGCCUGGCCCAAAAUAAAGGGUAACUUGCGUUUCUUCUUUGGAGAAAUAUCUCCUCGCUUGCUACUAAGACCUACAGGAGACUGAACCCAUGACUAUGGCACAAGUGAACUUCACACUAUGAAAUAAAAAGACCUGGGCACAUCGCAUGAUAAGGUGUAUAAUGGCAAUCCAACACCAAGUGGAAAGGAUAAAUAACAUGUCGGAAUCAAGAAGUUCUGAAGUCACAAAUAAUUUGCUUCAGAAGUGGUUCAGGCCCUCUGGUGCUGUACCCUGUGACCCCUUCUCUUCUUCUAUCAGCAUUAAUACCUCAGGGGGAUUUUGACUGGGUGCAUUGACUUGGUGAUCCCUUUUUGUUUCUAUUCUUCCCACAGUUAGAAUACAGGAGUUCAA
This is a long non-coding RNA of Felis catus (domestic cat), 590 nucleotides long. RefSeq lists it as uncharacterized. The transcript has 3 exons. The record is from RefSeq and is a predicted model, not a curated record. Lineage: Eukaryota; Metazoa; Chordata; Mammalia; Carnivora; Felidae.